GACGAACCACACAAACGUUAUUCGGAAUUACUGGGCUUAAAGGGUGCGUAGGCGGCCUGGCAAGUUGGGUGUGAAAUACCUCGGCUUAACCGAGGAAUGGCGCUCAAAACUGCCGGGCUUGAGGGAGAUAGAGGUGAGCGGAACUUAAGGUGGAGCGGUGAAAUGCGUUGAUAUCUUAAGGAACACCCGUGGCGAAAGCGGCUCACUGGAUCUCUUCUGACGCUCAGGCACGAAAGCCAGGGGAGCGAACGGG
Molecule: ribosomal RNA, 253 nt
Filed under: uncultured bacterium
Lineage: Bacteria
Description: partial 16S ribosomal RNA
Rfam family: Bacterial small subunit ribosomal RNA
Source: RNAcentral